AGAGCGAACGCUGGCGGCAGGCUUAACACAUGCAAGUCGAGCGGGCGUAGCAAUACGUCAGCGGCAGACGGGUGAGUAACGCGUGGGAACGUACCUUUUGGUUCGGAACAACACAGGGAAACUUGUGCUAAUACCGGAUAAGCCCUUACGGGGAAAGAUUUAUCGCCGAAAGAUCGGCCCGCGUCUGAUUAGCUAGUUGGUGAGGUAAUGGCUCACCAAGGCGACGAUCAGUAGCUGGUCUGAGAGGAUGAUCAGCCACAUUGGGACUGAGACACGGCCCAAACUCCUACGGGAGGCAGCAGUGGGAAUAUUGGACAAUGGGCGCAAACCUGAUCCAGCCAUGCCGCGUGAGUGAUGAAGGCCCUAGGGUUGUAAAGCUCUUUUGUGCGGGAAGAUAAUGACGGUACCGCAAGAAUAAGCCCCGGCUAACUUCGUGCCAGCAGCCGC
RNAcentral lists this ribosomal RNA (447 nucleotides) under uncultured bacterium. RNAcentral describes it as "SSU rRNA". It matches the Rfam family "Bacterial small subunit ribosomal RNA", at positions 26 to 518 of the family's 1533-position model. The record is from RNAcentral.